AACGAACGCUGGCGGCAGGCCUAACACAUGCAAGUCGAGCGAGGACUUCGGUUCUAGCGGCGGACGGGUGAGUAACGCGUGGGAAUGUGCCCUUCUCUACGGAAUAGCCCUGGGAAACUGGGAGUAAUACCGUAUACGCCCUAUUGGGGAAAGAUUUAUCGGAGAAGGAUCAGCCCGCGUUGGAUUAGGUAGUUGGUGGGGUAAUGGCCUACCAAGCCGACGAUCCAUAGCUGGUUUGAGAGGAUGAUCAGCCACACUGGGACUGAGACACGGCCCAGACUCCUACGGGAGGCAGCAGUGGGGAAUCUUAGACAAUGGGGGCAACCAUGAUCUAGCCAUGCCGCGUGAGUGAUGAAGGCCUUAGGGUUGUAAAGCUCUUUCAGCUGGGAAGAUAAUGACGGUACCAGCAGAAGAAGCCCCGGCUAACUCCGUG
This 433-nucleotide ribosomal RNA is filed under the name uncultured bacterium. RNAcentral describes it as "partial 16S ribosomal RNA". It matches the Rfam family "Bacterial small subunit ribosomal RNA", at positions 29 to 507 of the family's 1533-position model. The record is from RNAcentral.